Molecule: ribosomal RNA, 253 nt
Filed under: uncultured prokaryote
Description: partial 16S ribosomal RNA
Rfam family: Bacterial small subunit ribosomal RNA
Source: RNAcentral
ACGGAGGGGGCUAGCGUUGUUCGGAAUUACUGGGCGUAAAGCGUGCGCAGGCGGUUUGUUAAGUCUGUUGUGAAAUCCCCGAGCUCAACUUGGGAAUUGCAAUGGAUACUGGCAGGCUAGAGUAUGGUAGAGGAAGGUGGAAUUCCACGUGUAGCAGUGAAAUGCGUAGAGAUGUGGAGGAACACCGAUGGCGAAGGCAGCCCCCUGGGUUAACACUGACGCUCAGGCACGAAAGCGUGGGGAGCAAACAGGA